Molecule: ribosomal RNA, 494 nt
Filed under: uncultured fungus
Lineage: Eukaryota; Fungi
Description: SSU rRNA
Rfam family: Eukaryotic small subunit ribosomal RNA
Source: RNAcentral
AUAAAAAUCAACGUUGUUGGUGAAUCAUAAUAACUUCUCGGACCGCAUGGCCUCGUGCUGGCGGUGCUUCAUUCAAAUAUCUGCCCUAUCAACUGUCGAUGGUAGGAUAGAGGCCUACCAUGGUUGCAACGGGUAACGGGGAAUAAGGGUUCGAUUCCGGAGAGGGAGCCUGAGAAACGGCUACCACAUCCAAGGAAGGCAGCAGGCGCGCAAAUUACCCAAUCCCAACACGGGGAGGUAGUGACAAUAUGUAACAAUAUACGGCCUUAUACGUCGUAUAAUUGGAAUGAGUACAAUUUAAAUCCCUUAACGAGGAACAAUUGGAGGGCAAGUCUGGUGCCAGCAGCCGCGGUAAUUCCAGCUCCAAUAGCGUAUAUUAAAGUUGUUGCAGUUAAAAAGCUCGUAGUUGGACCUUGGACCUGGACAGGCGGUCCGCCUCACGGCGAGUACUGUCUUGCUGGGUCUUUCCUCUUGGUGAUCUGUUGUUUCGGCAG